Molecule: long non-coding RNA, 2038 nt
Organism: Bubalus bubalis (water buffalo)
Lineage: Eukaryota; Metazoa; Chordata; Mammalia; Artiodactyla; Bovidae
Exons: 2
Source: RefSeq, a predicted model, not a curated record
CCCUCACGGGAGACAUCAAAUAUCUGUAAUGUUUCUGGAGGUCCAGGAAUGUCUGCAGCAAGACGGAGGUAAACACACCAUGGCACCGUGAAUAAAUUAAAGACUCAUACAUUGUGUGUCUCGUAUAUACCGUUUUAAAAAGAGGUGAGGGGAAUGGCAGAAGGGCCCAGGACUUACUGAUGCUGCUGCGACAUUCUAUGACUUCAGACUGCAAGUAGGAGCCAAUCCCAAAGCGGUUUGUCGCGGCCACUCGGAACACAUACUCGUUUCCUUCAAUGAGUCUGGUAAACUUAAAUGUUGAUCUGGUCACUGACUCAGACACAGGCAGCCAUCCAGGGCGGUGGGCAUCACGUUGUUCUACCACAUAGCCACUCAGCGGAGCGCCACCGUCCAAUUCGGGCGGUUCCCAGGAAAUGGUCACUGAAGUAGCAUCAAUUUCAUCAACCUUGAUAGGCCCAGAUGGUGGACCAGGCUUGUCUACAAAAGAAAAGGAAAUUCCAGAUAUUAAUUUUCACUUCAAAUCAAAAUUGGGUGACUGAGCACCAACAAUUUGCUUGUGCCUUUUCCCAUAUCCCUACCGAGAAUGAUGACUUUAAUGGUCUCCGACGUAGUUCCGGUUACAUUCUUCAGUUCAAGUACAUAGUCUCCAGUAUCUUUGAUAGUGGUUUCCCGGAUGGUUAAUUUAGCUACCUUAGUAUGAGUUUCAACUGUGACACGCUCUGAUUCUCUUAGUUUAGAACCAGCGAAGAACCAGGAAGCAGCAGGAGGUGGGCGACCAGCGAUUGGUAUCACCAGCUCUACCGGUCUGCCAGCUGGGACAUGGAUGGUCUUUUGAGGCAUUGCAGAAAGAUCAAUUGUUGGCAACACUAUGAGAAAGAAAGUAGGUAUUUAUUCUUAAGUAUAAUUUCUAAUGACAGGAUGUCAUGAAUUCUGAAUGUUUCAUUUUGCUUUACUAUUAUUGUUAUCUUGGUGUUUUGGUACAUACCUCUGAGGUCUCGUACAGUCACGGCUGUGACUAUCUCUCUUGGUUCUGACACACCUUUCUCGUUUUGUGCCCUUACUCUAAAUAAGUACUGUUCACCUUCAUUUAAGGAAAUAACAGUGUGCUCUAGGACUGUGGGUUUUAAGGUGACAACCUUCAUCCAUCUCUCAGUGCCAGCUUUGCAGGCCUCGAGAACAUAGCCAGUGAGUCGGCUCCCACCGUCAUAGAGUGGUUUCUCCCAGGCAAGGGUAACAGUGGAUUUGGUGACAUCGACCACUUCUAGCUUUGUAGGCACCAAAGGCACUUCCGAGACCAGAACUGCAUCAGAUGUUUCACAAGGUUCUCCAAUGCCAUAAAUAUUUUCUGGCAACACCCUGAAAUAGUACAUGGCUCCUUCUAUAAGUCCAGAAAUCCUGUAGAGUGUCUUGCUGCAUUUGGUAGUUACUGUUUUGAAUGCUCUCAUGGCAGCUUCACGCUUUUCAAUAAUAUAAUUGUUGACAGGCGCUCCACCAUCGAUUGUGGGAACUUCCCAAGUGAUGGUCACAGAAUCUCUUGAUACUUCCUUAACUUUCACUGAAGGACAUGGGCCAGGAGUAUCUAAAAAAACAGAAUGAAGGAUCCAUACUUCUUAUUUGACAGAUUAGUUGAUAGAUUUUUGGGGGAAAGGGGUUAGGAAAAUAUACUUAACAUAGUCCCUUCUAGAGAGGUGAUCAAUCAGAGGUCAAGGUGUUUGUUUCUAAAGAAUCUACUCAUCGCAUAGUAUUAAGACCAAUACUUACCGUAUACUUUAACAAGGACAGUUGCUGAUUUCUUGCCAGAUUGGUUUUCGGCUUCAAUGGUGUAUUUUCCAGCAUCAUACCGGUUAACUUUGUCCACAAUAAGCAAAGAGUAACUCUCAGUGGUGUCGAUGAUUGCCCGACUUGCAAGGUCAAUGCCCUUUUUGCUCCAUGUGAUGACGGGUGGUGGUCUUCCAGAUACAGACACCAUCAGCCGUAGUGAGGCCCCAGCUCUGAUGGUCACGGUCUUCUUUAAAUCAUCUGCAAGCUCCAGAUCCGG